This 837-nucleotide ribosomal RNA is filed under the name uncultured bacterium. Its description in RNAcentral is "bacterial SSU rRNA". It matches the Rfam family "Bacterial small subunit ribosomal RNA", at positions 618 to 1455 of the family's 1533-position model. The record is from RNAcentral.
UGUAGGCUUUGGAAGCUGUUUAACUUGAGUGCAGAAGGGGAGAGUGGAAUUCCAUGUGUAGCGGUGAAAUGCGUAGAUAUAUGGAGGAACACCGGUGGCGAAAGCGGCUCUCUGGUCUGUAACUGACGCUGAGGCUCGAAAGCGUGGGGAGCGAACAGGAUUAGAUACCCUGGUAGUNCACGCCGUAAACGAUGAGUGCUAGGUGUUAGGUCCUUUCCGGGACUUAGUGCCGCAGCUAACGCAUUAAGCACUCCGCCUGGGGAGUACGACCGCAAGGUUGAAACUCAAAGGAAUUGACGGGGGCCCGCACAAGCGGUGGAGCAUGUGGUUUAAUUCGAAGCAACGCGAAGAACCUUACCAGGUCUUGACAUCCCGAUGCCCGCUCUAGAGAUAGAGCUUUACUUCGGUACAUCGGUGACAGGUGGAGCAUGGUUGUCGUCAGCUCGUGUCGUGAGAUGUUGGGUUAAGUCCCGCAACGAGCGCAACCCUUAUUGUUAGUUGCCAUCAUUCAGUUGGGCACUCUAGCGAGACUGCCGGUAAUAAACCGGAGGAAGGUGGGGAUGACGUCAAAUCAUCAUGCCCCUUAUGACCUGGGCUACACACGUGCUACAAUGGCUGGUACAACGAGUCGCAAGCCGGUGACGGCAAGCUAAUCUCUGAAAGCCAGUCUCAGUUCGGAUUGUAGGCUGCAACUCGCCUACAUGAAGUCGGAAUCGCUAGUAAUCGCGGAUCAGCACGCCGCGGUGAAUACGUUCCCGGGCCUUGUACACACCGCCCGUCACACCACGAGAGUUUGUAACACCCGAAGUCGGUGAGGUAACCGUAAGGAGCCAGCCG